RNAcentral lists this non-coding RNA (46 nucleotides) under Schistosoma haematobium. Lineage: Eukaryota; Metazoa; Platyhelminthes; Trematoda; Strigeidida; Schistosomatidae. The record is from RNAcentral.
GUACUACUGAGGAGUUGCACAAUAAGAUGAAACAGUUGUUCAGUAC